RNAcentral lists this long non-coding RNA (326 nucleotides) under Homo sapiens (human). Its description in RNAcentral is "HSALNT0341144". The record is from RNAcentral. Lineage: Eukaryota; Metazoa; Chordata; Mammalia; Primates; Hominidae.
CUUUAUUAGAGUGGCAGGAGCGUCCCUGUGCGAGGCCUGACCCAGGUGUGGGCCUUGCAGCCAGCUCGGGGUCCAAGGGGCACUCCUGCGGUGCUGCAAAGGAGGAUUUGUGACAACCCAGAGGAUGGAGGAAACGGCGGCUUUGAAAAGGUUUGUGAGCAGCCCCCGGUCCCCUGCCGCUCCGUGAGAAAUCAAACUUCAGGCACUGACGAAGCAUGAAGCCAGCAUCUUAGGAAGAGGUAGUGACAUAAUUACAAGGGCGACCGGAUUACAAUCACAGCCAGCAUGAACAUGGGGCGGCGCACAGUCCUGAAGAGGAAAGCCGG